ACUUCCGCUCGUCCGCCUAAUACCGCGCCUGCGCACCGCGUCUCUUCCUUUCUGGGCUCGGACCUAGGUCGCGGCGACAUGACCAAGAUGAAGAGACGAGCUGUGGGGAUCUGGCACUGUGGUUCCUGCAUGAAGACAGUGGCUGGCGGUGCCUGGACGUACAAGUGAGUCUAGUUCCUUGUGGUAUUUGGAAGUGUGUGGACCACAUAGGCCCAAAUUCCAGGUUGCUGCUGGAUGGGCUAGUUUUAACACUUUCUCAGGACUGAGAGAAUAAGGAUGCCUUUGUAUUUUCAGGAUUCUUCCGUGGUGGUUUAUUUUCAGUUAUUGAAAGAGUAAACACAAAACUACCAAAAUAGAAGUCGGAAAUCUAAUUCACAGACUACUUUAGAAUUUGAUGGUCACUGGGCACAUUGUUGUGAACAUUGUCAUGAUACUGUGCAGGUCCAUUAGUGGGGCUGAAUCUACUGAACGUUGAUUUGCACUGCAAGUUUUGAUAAAAAUAGGUGAAGGGGUCAGUUAGUUCAAAACUGUAUUUGGAACUUGAGGCCAUCAGGACCACCACAGUUUCGUCUUUCUGAACAGUAUUAGACUGCUGCAGGUUUGUGAAUCUGCAACUCAGUAUCACCUGACAGGGCGAUACUACAAACACUAUACUACAAACUAGCAUCUAGACCUGUGUUGUCCAAUACACUAAGCACAUAUAUGGCUAGUGUAAUUAAAGAAUUGGAUUUUAAAGUUUCAGUCAAUUUAAACUUAAACCGAAGCAGUGGAAAAUGUUGAAAUAUAUAUAUAUUCCUUGUGGGGGUUUUUAUUAGGGCAGAAUGGAAAAUGGGAACUAGAGUGCUUUCUUGGUUCUGAUAGGAAAGUGAAUUAUUUAUAUACUUACAAUACAGGAUGGUGAUUUUCAGGUAUAGUUCCUGAAUUUUAUGGUAAAACUUUUGUAGUCAUUUCAAUAGCUGUCUUUCCCAAAGGCACUUUAGUGUCCGCUCUUAUUUCCUUAAUCAUUGUUCUCACUGUAUCAUCUUGUAAUUUAUUCAUUUCUUGUAAUCUGUCCAUUCCCUUUUAAUAAGUUUAGGUCAGCCUCUUAGAACCAUUUCUUUUUCAUGGGAUGGGGUAGGGGGAGUUAAAGCUUGCUUGUCCACAACUGAGUUACUUAUAAAAAAAAAAGCAACUCUGGUUGAGAAAUCAGAUGCAUGAGAUUGUAUGUCUAAUUCUGCAAGAUCCUGAAGGCAUGGCUCUUAAAGGAUGCCAUCAUGUAGUUUAGAAGCCACUAAUUUCCGAGGAGUAAUCUAAUGUUGGUUAGAUCUUUGGAUUGACUGCAGCAAAGUAUUGGUAGAGCAGUCUAUCUCAGUAUAAUUCUUUCUAGGAAAAUUUGGGAAGCGACUUUAACACAAAAACGAGGCAGAUUUACUUAUUUGCCAUUUUCUAUGUUAACAUGCUUAAUUAUGUUGGAAACUGAAUCUUUCUUUCCAGUACCACUUCCGCUGUCACGGUAAAGUCCGCCAUCAGAAGACUGAAGGAGUUGAAAGACCAGUAGACGCUCCUCUACUCUUUGAGACAUCACUGGCCUAUAAUAAAUGGGUUAAUUUAUGUAAC
RNAcentral lists this long non-coding RNA (1596 nucleotides) under Homo sapiens (human). RNAcentral describes it as "long non-coding RNA NONHSAT076810.2". Lineage: Eukaryota; Metazoa; Chordata; Mammalia; Primates; Hominidae. The record is from RNAcentral.